ACAACACACACGCCGCAUGUAUAUGUAUGUGUGCAUGUAUAUAUAUAUAUAUAUAUGUCUAUAUAUAUAUAUAUAUAUACACACACAAACACAUACAUACACUGCUGUGUGUGUGUGAG
Molecule: non-coding RNA, 119 nt
Organism: Pelobates cultripes (western spadefoot toad)
Lineage: Eukaryota; Metazoa; Chordata; Amphibia; Anura; Pelobatidae
Source: the annotation of a GenBank genome assembly